RNAcentral lists this ribosomal RNA (422 nucleotides) under uncultured bacterium. RNAcentral's name for it is "partial 16S ribosomal RNA". It matches the Rfam family "Bacterial small subunit ribosomal RNA", at positions 360 to 774 of the family's 1533-position model. The record is from RNAcentral.
AAUAUUUGACAAUUGGGGCAACCCUGAUCCAGCCAUGCCGCGUGUGUGAAGAAGGUCUUCGGGUGUUAUAGCACUCUUUGGUGGGAGGAAGGGCUUUGUGUUAAUACCCUGAAGUUUUGACGUUACUAACAGAAUAAGCACCGGCUAACUCUGGUCCAGCAGCCGCGGUAACACUGAGGGUGCAAGGGUUAAUCGGAAUUACUGGGCGUAAAGCGCGCGUAGGUGGUUCAGUAAGAUGGGUGUGAAAUCCCCGGGCUUAACCUGGGAACUGCUUUCAUAACUGCUGAGCUAGGGUACGGUAGAGGGUAGUGGAAUUUCCUGUGUAGCGGUGAAAUGCGUAGAUAUAGGAAGGAACACCAGUGGCGAAGGCGACUACCUGGACUGAUACUGACACUGAGGUGCGAAAGCGUGGGGAGCAAACA